GACGAACGCUGGCGGCGUGCUUAACACAUGCAAGUCGAACGGAAAGGCCCUGCUUUUGUGGGGUGCUCGAGUGGCGAACGGGUGAGUAACACGUGAGUAACCUGCCCUUGACUUUAGGAUAACUUCAGGAAACUGGGGCUAAUACCGGAUAGGAGCUCCUGCUGCAUGGUGGGGGUUGGAAAGUUUCGGCGGUUGGGGAUGGACUCGCGGCUUAUCAGCUUGUUGGUGGGGUAGUGGCUUACCAAGGCUUUGACGGGUAGCCGGCCUGAGAGGGUGACCGGCCACAUUGGGACUGAGAUACGGCCCAGACUCCUACGGGAGGCAGCAGUGGGGAAUAGUGCACAAUGGGCGGAAGCCUGAUGCAGCAACGCCGCGUGCGGGAUGACGGCCUUCGGGUUGUAGACCGCUUUCGCCUGUGACGAAGCGUGAGUGACGGUAAUGGGUAAAGAAGCACCGGCUAACUACGUG
Molecule: ribosomal RNA, 468 nt
Filed under: uncultured bacterium
Lineage: Bacteria
Description: partial 16S ribosomal RNA
Rfam family: Bacterial small subunit ribosomal RNA
Source: RNAcentral